Trichosurus vulpecula (common brushtail) is the source of this 106-nucleotide small nuclear RNA. Lineage: Eukaryota; Metazoa; Chordata; Mammalia; Diprotodontia; Phalangeridae. The record is from RefSeq and is a predicted model, not a curated record.
AUUCUUACUUUGGUAGAAUAUAUACUAAAAUUGGAGUGACAUAGAGAAGAUUAGCAUGGCCCUGCACAAGGAGAACCUGCAAAUUUAAGAAGCAUUCCAUAUUUUU